GUUUACGGCCAUACCACGUUGAAUACACCAGUUCUCGUCCGAUCACUGAAGUUAAGCAACGUCGGGCUCGGUUAGUACUUGGAUGGGUGACCGCCUGGGAAUACCGAGUGUCGUAAGCU
This 119-nucleotide ribosomal RNA is filed under the name Adineta vaga. Lineage: Eukaryota; Metazoa; Rotifera; Eurotatoria; Adinetida; Adinetidae. The record is from RNAcentral.